This 497-nucleotide ribosomal RNA is filed under the name uncultured bacterium. RNAcentral's name for it is "partial 16S ribosomal RNA". It matches the Rfam family "Bacterial small subunit ribosomal RNA", at positions 28 to 507 of the family's 1533-position model. The record is from RNAcentral.
GAUGAACGCUGGCGGCGUGCCUAAUACAUGCAAGUCGAGCGAACAGAUGAGGAGCUUGCUCCUCUGACGUUAGCGGCGGACGGGUGAGUAACACGUGGAUAACCUACCUAUAAGACUGGGAUAACUUCGGGAAACCGGAGCUAAUACCGGAUAAUAUAUUGAACCGCAUGGUUCAAUAGUGAAAGACGGUUUUGCUGUCACUUAUAGAUGGAUCCGCGCCGCAUUAGCUAGUUGGUAAGGUAACGGCUUACCAAGGCAACGAUGCAUAGCCGACCUGAGAGGGUGAUCGGCCACACUGGAACUGAGACACGGUCCAGACUCCUACGGGAGGCAGCAGUAGGGAAUCUUCCGCAAUGGGCGAAAGCCUGACGGAGCAACGCCGCGUGAGUGAUGAAGGUCUUCGGAUCGUAAAACUCUGUUAUUAGGGAAGAACAAAUGUGUAAGUAACUGUGCACAUCUUGACGGUACCUAAUCAGAAAGCCACGGCUAACUACGUG